UUAAACCGGCGCACGGGUGAGUAACACGUGAGUGACCUGCCUUUUAGACUGGAACAACUUACCGAAAGGUGAGCUAAUGCCGGAUGAGUUAUAUAAGUGCAUGUUUAUAUAGGAAAAGUUGGGGAGACCUGACGCUGAAAGAUGGACUCGCGUCCCAUUAGCUAGUUGGUGGGGCAACGGCCCACCAAGCCGACGAUGCGUAGGGGUUCUGAGAGGAAGGUCCCCCACAUUGGAACUGAGACACGGUCCAAACUCCUACGGGAGGCAGCAG
This 271-nucleotide ribosomal RNA is filed under the name uncultured bacterium. RNAcentral's name for it is "partial 16S ribosomal RNA". It matches the Rfam family "Bacterial small subunit ribosomal RNA", at positions 90 to 354 of the family's 1533-position model. The record is from RNAcentral.